UGAAAAAGGGUCAGGGAAAGUUGGACUUGC
Molecule: non-coding RNA, 30 nt
Filed under: Mus musculus (house mouse)
Lineage: Eukaryota; Metazoa; Chordata; Mammalia; Rodentia; Muridae
Source: RNAcentral